Molecule: ribosomal RNA, 589 nt
Filed under: Saccharomyces cerevisiae (brewer's yeast)
Lineage: Eukaryota; Fungi; Ascomycota; Saccharomycetes; Saccharomycetales; Saccharomycetaceae
Description: partial large subunit ribosomal RNA
Rfam family: Eukaryotic large subunit ribosomal RNA
Source: RNAcentral
CCGCGGGGGAUUGGCCUUAGUACGGCGAGUGAAGCGGCAAAAGCUCAAAUUUGAAAUCUGGUACCUUCGGUGCCCGAGUUGUAAUUUGGAGAGGGCAACUUUGGGGCCGUUCCUUGUCUAUGUUCCUUGGAACAGGACGUCAUAGAGGGUGAGAAUCCCGUGUGGCGAGGAGUGCGGUUCUUUGUAAAGUGCCUUCGAAGAGUCGAGUUGUUUGGGAAUGCAGCUCUAAGUGGGUGGUAAAUUCCAUCUAAAGCUAAAUAUUGGCGAGAGACCGAUAGCGAACAAGUACAGUGAUGGAAAGAUGAAAAGAACUUUGAAAAGAGAGUGAAAAAGUACGUGAAAUUGUUGAAAGGGAAGGGCAUUUGAUCAGACAUGGUGUUUUGUGCCCUCUGCUCCUUGUGGGUAGGGGAAUCUCGCAUUUCACUGGGCCAGCAUCAGUUUUGGUGGCAGGAUAAAUCCAUAGGAAUGUAGCUUGCCUCGGUAAGUAUUAUAGCCUGUGGGAAUACUGCCAGCUGGGACUGAGGACUGCGACGUAAGUCAAGGAUGCUGGCAUAAUGGUUAUAUGCCGCCCGUCUUGAACCCACGAACC